This 247-nucleotide ribosomal RNA is filed under the name uncultured Actinomycetales bacterium. Its description in RNAcentral is "partial 16S ribosomal RNA". It matches the Rfam family "Bacterial small subunit ribosomal RNA", at positions 83 to 334 of the family's 1533-position model. Lineage: Bacteria; Bacillati; Actinomycetota; Actinomycetes; Actinomycetales. The record is from RNAcentral.
GGAGGUACUCGAGUGGCGAACGGGUGAGUAACACGUGGGUGAUCUGCCCUGCACUCUGGGAUAAGCCUGGGAAACUGGGUCUAAUACCGGAUAGGACCAUGCUUUAGUGUGUGUGGUGGAAAGUUUUUCGGUGUAGGAUGAGCCCGCGGCCUAUCAGCUUGUUGGUGGGGUAAUGGCCUACCAAGGCGGCGACGGGUAGCCGGACUGAGAGGUUGGUCGGCCACAUUGGGACUGAGAUACGGCCCAG